GUGUGGCUUGGCAGAGGCGUCGUUCUUGGUGGUUGAGCCGCUGAUGCAGAAGAUUCAUGGAGAGAUUUGUUGGGUGGACGCCGACAUCCUUGCCGCCGUCCGGUUGCAGGGUAGUGCUUACAAAAAGAGGCAAGCUGAAGAGGAAGGUUGGAAGAAGGAGAGUUAUGAUUGCCUCUUCCUCCUGUUGCUAAGGCAAAAGGACCAAGUGCGGGCGGGUGAGCAUCAGGAGUCCAGUUGAUUGGCUUCGGCCUUUGAGUUGCUGCUGGCUAGCGGUGCUGCUUCUGAGCGUCUCCUCACCCCUCACUCAUGUGCCUCCUUCAACUGGUGGCACUUUUGCUUGUGUCUUGUUAUCUUUUCGAAAUGGUGAAGCUGACAAUGAUAGCCUGUAUCACCGAUGACCUUUCAUUUGCGGAGUGCUUAGAUGGUGGUUAUGUUAAGGAUGUUGUCUUCUACAAGCAGCAAGCAAAAUUAGUCACCUUGCCUCUCUUGCACUUAGCAUUGUCUAAUUAGACUUUUCAAAAUGAUUAUCCAGGACUGCUUGGCCUCUCGUUUCGAUUAGCCUAUCAUUUAAGUUGGAAACACCAGAAUUGACGCUUGCGUAUGAGUAGGUACCAACUCUCUUCUUUACUCUUUCAUGGUGAAUCCAUUUUUAUUAUCCCCUGUUUGAUAGUUUUUUCUCCUCUUGACCCAAAUAAAGAGAUUUGAUGUGAUGAUUGAGGUAGAAGGCUAGCUGAACAUAUUGAUCAAAUGUCUGCUGAUGUACUUUAUUAUUCUUUGUUUCAUUGUUUUUUGUAUGGUGACCGUGAGCUCUAUAGGUAGAGGAGCAGAGGACAUAAAGGUGCAUAGCUAUUUUGUCACUACUAAUAUAUAUGACUAAUUAAUGCCCACAAAGUUUUAAUGAGAUAAUAAUGAGAGAUUAUCAAAGAACAGAGCUCUCUGGUACUUCAUAUAUGUGAUCCUUUUAGCAGCCCACAAGAUGUCUCUGGACAUGCUCAUAAGAGGAUAGGAUGUGAUACGUGUUUGCUCAAACGGUCCAAGACUUGGAUGAACAGUUGGAAUAAAGGAUCUCUCUCUGUAUCCACCUUGGAAAAAAUAGAAUCAACCCUUCCUCUUAUUAAUCAUGUGCAGCCUCUUUAAUUUGCCUUCCUAGCCUGUGUCAUUUGGUUCUGAUUUUUUUUCUGCUAUACAACUUAACAAUUUAAUUUCGUGUGUCAUGUGCAGAGAGGUCCAGGAUGAUCUGAGACACAUGGGUUUCCUGUUCUCAACUUCUCAUGUUUGAUUUUAAUUCUUUUGCUUUUUGGUUAACCAGAGCUCAGAAUCAAGAUUAAGAAAGUAGUUGAGCACAAAGCAAACAAGGUGAUGUUUGCCCAUAGAUGCCUGAUGAUGAUCAUUUCCUGGUGAGUUUGUGUUGCCCAUAGAGAACUUGAAAUAGUCAUGGCUGGACCUAUGAAUGAAACAAUAACAGUCAUGCAUUCGGUAUGCUCUUGGUAGAUAUUUUCUGAUUAUGCUUGU
Long non-coding RNA from Triticum dicoccoides, 1512 nucleotides. RefSeq lists it as uncharacterized. The transcript is spliced from 5 exons. The record is from RefSeq and is a predicted model, not a curated record. NCBI's taxonomy places the organism in Eukaryota, Viridiplantae, Streptophyta, Magnoliopsida, Poales, Poaceae.